UGCGUAGGCGGAUGCUUAAGUCAGAUGUGAAAGCCCUGGGCUCAACCUAGGAACCGCAUCUGAUACUGGGCAUCUAGAGUAUGGUAGAGGAUAGUGGAAUUUCAGGUGUAGCGGUGAAAUGCGUAGAUAUCUGAAGGAACACCAGUGGCGAAGGCGACUAUCUGGGCCAAUACUGACGCUGAGGUACGAAAGCAUGGGUAGCGAACAGGAUUAGAUACCCUGGUAGUCC
Molecule: ribosomal RNA, 229 nt
Filed under: uncultured bacterium
Lineage: Bacteria
Description: partial 16S ribosomal RNA
Rfam family: Bacterial small subunit ribosomal RNA
Source: RNAcentral